This 424-nucleotide ribosomal RNA is filed under the name uncultured bacterium. RNAcentral's name for it is "bacterial SSU rRNA". It matches the Rfam family "Bacterial small subunit ribosomal RNA", at positions 32 to 434 of the family's 1533-position model. The record is from RNAcentral.
AAUCAACGCUGGCGGCGUGCCUCAGACAUGCAAGUCGAACGCGAAAGUCUCCUUCGGGGGACAAGUAGAGUGGCGCACGGGUGAGUAACACGUAGGUAAUCUACCUUCGGAUGGGGAAUAACAAUCGGAAACGGUUGCUAAUACCGCACAAUGCAGCGGCACCUAAUGGUGACAGUUGUUAAAGCGGGGGAUCGAAAGACCUCGCGUCUGAAGAGGAGCCUGCGGCGGAUUAGCUAGUUGGUAAGGUAAUAGCUUACCAAGGCGACGAUCCGUAACCGGCCUGAGAGGGCGGUCGGUCACACUGACACUGACAUACGGGUCAGACUCCUACGGGAGGCAGCAGUCGGGAAUUUUGGGUCAAUGGGCGAAAGCCUGACCCAGCAACGCCGCGUGAAGGAUGAAAUCCCUCGGGAUGUAAACUUCG